CGGUCCAGACUCCUACGGGAGGCAGCAGUGGGGAAUAUUGCACAAUGGGCGCAAGCCUGAUGCAGCCAUGCCGCGUGUAUGAAGAAGGCCUUCGGGUUGUAAAGUACUUUCAGCGGGGAGGAAGGUGAUAAGGUUAAUAACCUUGUCGAUUGACGUUACCCGCAGAAGAAGCACCGGCUAACUCCGUGCCAGCAGCCGCGGUAAUACGGAGGGUGCAAGCGUUAAUCGGAAUUACUGGGCGUAAAGCGCACGC
This 253-nucleotide ribosomal RNA is filed under the name Klebsiella michiganensis. RNAcentral describes it as "partial 16S ribosomal RNA". It matches the Rfam family "Bacterial small subunit ribosomal RNA", at positions 327 to 572 of the family's 1533-position model. Lineage: Bacteria; Pseudomonadati; Pseudomonadota; Gammaproteobacteria; Enterobacterales; Enterobacteriaceae. The record is from RNAcentral.